RNAcentral lists this ribosomal RNA (468 nucleotides) under uncultured bacterium. RNAcentral describes it as "partial 16S ribosomal RNA". It matches the Rfam family "Bacterial small subunit ribosomal RNA", at positions 28 to 507 of the family's 1533-position model. The record is from RNAcentral.
GACGAACGCUGGCGGCGUGCUUAACACAUGCAAGUCGAACGGAAAGGCCCUGCUUUUGUGGGGUGCUCGAGUGGCGAACGGGUGAGUAACACGUGAGUAACCUGCCCUUGACUUUGGGAUAACUUCAGGAAACUGGGGCUAAUACCGGAUAGGAGCUCCUGCUGCAUGGUGGGGGUUGGAAAGUUUCGGCGGUUGGGGAUGGACUCGCGGCUUAUCCGCUUGUUGGUGGGGUAGUGGCUUACCAAGGCUUUGACGGGUAGCCGGCCUGAGAGGGUGACCGGCCACAUUGAGACUGAGAAACGGACCAGACUCAUACGGGAGGCAGCAGUGGGGAAAAUGGCAAAGUGGGCGGAAGCCUGAUGCAGCAACGCCGCGUGAGGGAUGACGGCCUUCGGGUUGUGAACCGAUUUCGCCUGAGAAGAAGCGUGAGUGACGGUAAUGGGUAAAGAAGCACCGGCUAACUACGUG